Molecule: ribosomal RNA, 305 nt
Filed under: uncultured bacterium
Lineage: Bacteria
Description: bacterial SSU rRNA
Rfam family: Bacterial small subunit ribosomal RNA
Source: RNAcentral
CCUACGGGAGCAGCAGUGAGGAAUAUUGGUCAAUGGGCGGUAGCCUGAACCAGCCAAGUAGCGUGAAGGAUGAAGGUUCUAUGGAUUGUAAACUUCUUUUAUAAAGGAAUAAAGUGAGGCACGUGUGCCUUUUUGUAUGUACUUUAUGAAUAAGGAUCGGCUAACUCCGUGCCAGCAGCCGCGGUAAUACGUAGGAUCCGAGCGUUAUCCGGAUUUAUUGGGUUUAAAGGGAGCGUAGGUGGACAGUUAAGUCAGUUGUGAAAGUUUGCGGCUCAACCGUAAAAUUGCAGUUGAUACUGGCUGUC